RNAcentral lists this ribosomal RNA (475 nucleotides) under Areopaguristes sp. USNM 1544506. RNAcentral's name for it is "partial large subunit ribosomal RNA". It matches the Rfam family "Bacterial large subunit ribosomal RNA", at positions 1930 to 2608 of the family's 2925-position model. Lineage: Eukaryota; Metazoa; Arthropoda; Malacostraca; Decapoda; Diogenidae. The record is from RNAcentral.
GCCGCGGUAUUCUGACCGUGCGAAGGUAGCAUAAUCAAUAGCCUUUUAAUUGAAGGCUUGAAUGAAGGGUUGGACGAGAAAUAGACUGUUUCUUAGAUAAGAAUUGAAUUUAACUUUUAAGUGAAAAGGCUUAAAUACUACAAGAAGACGAUAAGACCCUAUAAAUCUUCAUAUUAGUUUAAAUUUUUGAAAAGUUUAUAAGUCAAUUCGAUUAAAUUUAAAUAAUAUUUUAUUGGGGCGAUAUGAAUAGAUAAUUAUCUAUUUCAACUGUUUUACAAAAAAUAUUUGAAUGAAAUUUUUAGAUCCUUACUUAAAGAUUCGUAGAUUAAGUUACUUUAGGGAUAACAGCGUUAUUUUAUUUAAGAGUUCGUAUCAAAAAUAAAGUUUGCGACCUCGAUGUUGAAUUAAAAUUUCUUUGUGGUGCAGCAGCUAUAAAAGAAAGUCUGUUCGACUUUUAAAAUUUUACAUGAUUUGA